CCUACGGGAGGCAUCAGUGAGGAAUAUUGGUCAAUGGACGCAAGUCUGAACCAGCCAUGCCGCGUGCAGGAAGACGGCCCUAUGAGUUGUAAACUGCUUUUGUACGAGGGUAAACUCAGAUACGCGUAUCUUUCUGCAAGUAUCGUACGAAUAAGGAUCGGCUAACUCCGUGCCAGCAGCCGCGGUAAUACGGAGGAUUCAAGCGUUAUCCGGAUUUAUUGGGUUUAAAGGGUGCGUAGGCGGUCGGAUAAGUUAGAGGUGAAAUCCCGAGGCUCAACUUCGGAAUUGCCUCUGAUACUGUUGGGCUAGAGAGUAGGUGCGGUAGGCGGAAUGUAUGGUGUAGCGGUGAAAUGCUUAGAGAUCAUACAGAACACCGAUUGCGAAGGCAGCUUACCAAGGUACUUCUGACGCUGAGGCACGAAAGCGUGGGGAACAAACAGGAUUAGAUACCCUGGUAGUC
Molecule: ribosomal RNA, 460 nt
Filed under: uncultured bacterium
Lineage: Bacteria
Description: partial 16S ribosomal RNA
Rfam family: Bacterial small subunit ribosomal RNA
Source: RNAcentral